Molecule: ribosomal RNA, 431 nt
Filed under: uncultured bacterium
Lineage: Bacteria
Description: partial 16S ribosomal RNA
Rfam family: Bacterial small subunit ribosomal RNA
Source: RNAcentral
CGAACGCUGGCGGCAUGCCUAACACAUGCACGUCGAACGAGACCUUCGGGUCUAGUGGCGCACGGGUGCGUAACGCGUGGGAACCUGCCCUUAGGUUCGGAAUAACUCCCCGAAAGGGGUGCUAAUACCGGAUAAUGUCUUCGGACCAAAGAUUUAUCGCCUUUGGAUGGGCCCGCGUUGGAUUAGCUAGUUGGUAGGGUAAAAGCCUACCAAGGCGACGAUCCAUAGCUGGUCUGAGAGGAUGAUCAGCCACACUGGGACUGAGACACGGCCCAGACUCCUACGGGAGGCAGCAGUGGGGAAUAUUAGACGAUGGGCGAAAGUCUGAUCCAGCAAUGCCGCGUGAGUGAUGAAGGCCUUAGGGUUGUAAAGCUCUUUUACCCGGGAUGAUAAUGACAGUACCGGGAGAAUAAGCUACGGCUAACUCCGUG